CCCCAGUCGAAUAGCAAGCCGAAGACAGCAGGUGCCCGCGGGCUUAAUGUCCUGCCGAGGUUUGAGCGAAGUUCAAAGGGAUCCCUUCUUGGAUCGCUUUUGAUGGUGCGCUUAUCUCCAUGCGUCUCGGCCACGGCUGGGGCGCAUUCUGUUUGGUAGA
Regulatory RNA element from Synechococcus sp. JA-2-3B'a(2-13), 160 nucleotides. It matches the Rfam family "Ribosomal protein L10 leader". Rfam says of the family: This family is a putative r-protein leader autoregulatory structure found in B. subtilis and other low-GC Gram-positive bacteria. It is located in the 5' untranslated regions of mRNAs encoding ribosomal proteins L10 and L12 (rplJ-rplL). A Rho-independent transcription terminator structure that is probably involved in regulation is included at the 3' end. Lineage: Bacteria; Bacillati; Cyanobacteriota; Cyanophyceae; Synechococcales; Synechococcaceae. The record is from Rfam.